UGGUGGAGUGAUUUGUCUGGUUAAUUCCGUUAACGAACGAGACCUCGACCUGCUAAAUAGUUUGGUGAAUUCUCCGGGAUUCAUUUACGACUUCUUAGAGGGACUAUCGGUGAUUUAGCCGAUGGAAGUUCGAGGCAAUAACA
Molecule: ribosomal RNA, 143 nt
Filed under: uncultured eukaryote
Lineage: Eukaryota
Description: partial 18S ribosomal RNA
Rfam family: Eukaryotic small subunit ribosomal RNA
Source: RNAcentral